UACGUAGGGUCCGAGCGUUGUCCGGAAUUACUGGGCGUAAAGAGCUCGUAGGUGGUUUGUCGCGUCGUCUCUGAAAUUCCGGGGCUUAACUCCGGGCGUGCAGGCGAUACGGGCAUAACUUGAGUACUGUAGGGGAGACUGGAAUUCCUGGUGUAGCGGUGAAAUGCGCAGAUAUCAGGAGGAACACCGGUGGCGAAGGCGGGUCUCUGGGCAGUAACUGACGCUGAGGAGCGAAAGCAUGGGUAGCGAACAGGAUUAGAUACCCCCUGUAGUCCCU
Molecule: ribosomal RNA, 277 nt
Filed under: uncultured prokaryote
Description: partial 16S ribosomal RNA
Rfam family: Bacterial small subunit ribosomal RNA
Source: RNAcentral